This 497-nucleotide ribosomal RNA is filed under the name uncultured bacterium. Its description in RNAcentral is "partial 16S ribosomal RNA". It matches the Rfam family "Bacterial small subunit ribosomal RNA", at positions 28 to 507 of the family's 1533-position model. The record is from RNAcentral.
GAUGAACGCUGGCGGCGUGCCUAAUACAUGCAAGUCGAGCGAACGGACGAGAAGCUUGCUUCUCUGAUGUUAGCGGCGGACGGGUGAGUAACACGUGGAUAACCUACCUAUAAGACUGGGAUAACUUCGGGAAACCGGAGCUAAUACCGGAUAAUAUUUUGAACCGCAUGGCUCAAAAGUGAAAGACGGUCUUGCUGUCACUUAUAGAUGGAUCCGCGCUGCAUUAGCUAGUUGGUAAGGUAACGGCUUACCAAGGCAACGAUGCAUAGCCGACCUGAGAGGGUGAUCCGCCACACCGGAACCGAGACACGGUCCAGACUCCUACGGGAGGCAACAGUUGGGAAUCUUCCGCAAUUGGCGAAAGCCUUACGGGGCAACGCCGCGUGAGUGAUGAAGGUCUUCCGAUCGUAAAACUCUGUUAUUAGGGAAGAACAUAUGUGUAAGUAACUGUGCACAUCUUGACGGUACCUAAUCAGAAAGCCACGGCUAACUACGUG